UUGCUCUAAAUGCUUUGGGUUUUGAGUUAUAAGCCAAAACUGCAUUUUACCCCAUGUUCUAUUUUUAGCCAUGGCGGCCAUCUUGGUUGGAUGGCCGGGUCACCGGACACAUUUUUCAAACUACUAACCCAAAAGAUGAUUGUGGCCAAGUUUGGAUUAAUUUGGCCAAGUAGUUUCAGAGGAGAAGAUUUUUGUAAAAGAAUACUAAGAUUUGCGAAAAAUGGUUAAAAAUGGACUAUAAAGGGCAAUAACUCCUAAAGGGGUCAACUGACC
This 273-nucleotide long non-coding RNA is filed under the name Mytilus galloprovincialis (Mediterranean mussel). The record is from RNAcentral. Lineage: Eukaryota; Metazoa; Mollusca; Bivalvia; Mytilida; Mytilidae.